RNAcentral lists this ribosomal RNA (469 nucleotides) under uncultured bacterium. RNAcentral's name for it is "partial 16S ribosomal RNA". It matches the Rfam family "Bacterial small subunit ribosomal RNA", at positions 28 to 507 of the family's 1533-position model. The record is from RNAcentral.
GACGAACGCUGGCGGCGUGCUUAACACAUGCAAGUCGAACGGAAAGGCCCUGCUUGCAGGGUGCUCGAGUGGCGAACGGGUGAGUAACACGUGGGCGAUCUGCCCCUUACUUUGGGAUAAGCCUGGGAAACUGGGUCUAAUACUGGAUAGGACCAUGCUGUAGGUGGUGUGGUGGAAAGAUUAGUUUCGGUAAGGGAUGAGCUCGCGGCCUAUCAGCUUGUUGGUGGGGUAAUGGCCUACCAAGGCGUCGACGGGUAGCCGGCCUGAGAGGGUGGACGGCCACAUUGGGACUGAGAUACGGCCCAGACUCCUACGGGAGGCAGCAGAGGGGAAUAUUGCACAAUGGGCGCAAGCCUGAUGCAGCGACGCCGCGUGGGGGAUGACGGCCUUCGGGUUGUAAACUCCUUUCAGCCAUGACGAAGCCCUUGUGGUGACGGUAGUGGUAGAAGAAGCACCGGCUAACUACGUG